GACGAACGCUGGCGGCGUGCUUAACACAUGCAAGUCGAACGGAGCGCUUCGGAUGAUUUCUUCGGAAAGAGACUGAAGUUAGCUUAGUGGCGGACGGGUGAGUAACGCGUGAGUAACCUGCCCAUCAGAGGGGGAUAACAACUGGAAACGGUUGCUAAUACCGCAUAAGACCCCAGUAUCGCAUGGUACAGAGGUAAAAGGAGCAAUCCACUGAUGGAGGGACUCGCGUCCCAUUAGAUAGUUGGUAUGGGUAAUGGCCUACCAAGUCAACGAUGGGUAGCCGGACUGAGAGGUUGAACGGCCACACUGGGACUGAGAUACGGCCCAGACUCCUACGGGAGGCAGCAGUGGGGAAUAUUGGGCAAUGGGCGAAAGCCUGACCCAGCAACGCCGCGUGAAGGAAGAAGGUUUUCGGAUUGUAAACUUCUGUCCUUGGGGAAGAAAAAAAUGACGGUACCCGAGGAGGAAGCCCCGGCUAACUACGUGCCAGCAGCCGCAGUA
This 501-nucleotide ribosomal RNA is filed under the name uncultured bacterium. RNAcentral describes it as "bacterial SSU rRNA". It matches the Rfam family "Bacterial small subunit ribosomal RNA", at positions 28 to 522 of the family's 1533-position model. The record is from RNAcentral.